UGGGCAGUAUCGAAAUGAACUGCACCACAAUAAAUGAAGUGAAAUGAAAAUAUGUGGAUUCUGCCUUGAUCCAAAAACAGGACUAGGACAGAGGG
Bacillus manliponensis is the source of this 95-nucleotide regulatory RNA element. It matches the Rfam family "pan motif". Lineage: Bacteria; Bacillati; Bacillota; Bacilli; Caryophanales; Bacillaceae. The record is from Rfam.